This 240-nucleotide ribosomal RNA is filed under the name uncultured bacterium. RNAcentral's name for it is "partial 16S ribosomal RNA". It matches the Rfam family "Bacterial small subunit ribosomal RNA", at positions 359 to 589 of the family's 1533-position model. The record is from RNAcentral.
UCCGAUUGGACAAUGGGGGCAACCCUGAUCCAGCCAUGCCGCGUGUGUGAAGAAGGCCUUCGGGUUGUAAAGCACUUUCAGCGAGGAGGAAGGGAUCCGUGUGUUAAUAGCGCARUUUCUUGACGUUACUCGCAGAAGAAGCACCGGCUAACUCUGUGCCAGCAGCCGCGGUAAUACAGAGGGUGCAAGCGUUAAUCGGAAUUACUGGGCGUAAAGCGCACGCAGGCGGUUUGUUAAGAU